Molecule: ribosomal RNA, 472 nt
Filed under: uncultured Pelotomaculum sp.
Lineage: Bacteria; Bacillati; Bacillota; Clostridia; Eubacteriales; Desulfotomaculaceae
Description: bacterial SSU rRNA
Rfam family: Bacterial small subunit ribosomal RNA
Source: RNAcentral
UUGACGGGGCCCGCACAAGCGGUGGAGCAUGUGGUUUAAUUCGACGCAACGCGAAGAACCUUACCAGGGCUUGACAUCCCCUGACCGCGUAUGAAAGUACGUUUUCACCCUCGGGUGACAGGGAGACAGGUGGUGCAUGGUUGUCGUCAGCUCGUGUCGUGAGAUGUUGGGUUAAGUCCCGCAACGAGCGCAACCCCUACGUUUAGUUGCUAACGCGUGAAGGCGAGCACUCUAGACGAACUGCCGUUGACAAACGGAGGAAGUGGGGAUGACGUCAAAUCAUCAUGCCCCUUAUGUUCUGGGCUACACACGUGCUACAAUGGCCGGUACAGACGGACGCAAAGCCGCGAGGUGGAGCAAAUCCUAAAAAGCCGGUCUCAGUUCGGAUUGCAGGCUGCAAUUCGCCUGCAUGAAGUCGGAAUCGCUAGUAAUCGCAGGUCAGCAUACUGCGGUGAAUACGUUCCCGGGCCUU